This 504-nucleotide ribosomal RNA is filed under the name Enterococcus durans. Its description in RNAcentral is "bacterial SSU rRNA". It matches the Rfam family "Bacterial small subunit ribosomal RNA", at positions 1 to 483 of the family's 1533-position model. Lineage: Bacteria; Bacillati; Bacillota; Bacilli; Lactobacillales; Enterococcaceae. The record is from RNAcentral.
UAGAGUUUGAUCCUGGCUCAGGACGAACGCUGGCGGCGUGCCUAAUACAUGCAAGUCGUACGCUUCUUUUUCCACCGGAGCUUGCUCCACCGGAAAAAGAAGAGUGGCGAACGGGUGAGUAACACGUGGGUAACCUGCCCAUCAGAAGGGGAUAACACUUGGAAACAGGUGCUAAUACCGUAUAACAAUCGAAACCGCAUGGUUUUGAUUUGAAAGGCGCUUUCGGGUGUCGCUGAUGGAUGGACCCGCGGUGCAUUAGCUAGUUGGUGAGGUAACGGCUCACCAAGGCCACGAUGCAUAGCCGACCUGAGAGGGUGAUCGGCCACAUUGGGACUGAGACACGGCCCAAACUCCUACGGGAGGCAGCAGUAGGGAAUCUUCGGCAAUGGACGAAAGUCUGACCGAGCAACGCCGCGUGAGUGAAGAAGGUUUUCGGAUCGUAAAACUCUGUUGUUAGAGAAGAACAAGGAUGAGAGUAACUGUUCAUCCCUGACGGUAUCUACC